UGUAAAGUAAUUUGUAAAAAAUUUUCAAUUGUAAAAUUGCUACAUGAGAAGACAAGUUGUUAGAUGAAAUUCAAAUAUUCUCUAUGUUUGUGUUGUGUAGGUCAAAAAGUAAUAGAUGAAGAUGAUAUUGAUUGUGAUGACUAAGACUUCAUUUUAAGACACAUCAAUCUUCAUCAUUUUUAAAUAAAAAGGAUAAACAUUAUGGAUUUCCAUUAUCUCAAGCAAACUUUCAAUAUUGUGUGUUGCUUCUCUUAAAUGAGAUAAAAACCCAAGGAUGCAAAAAACUUAAUAUAAAAUAGUGUGAAGAAGAAGUAGUAACUGAAAUGAACAGCAUAAUAGAAUUUGAUAAGUUUGACUCAGCACUUGACAAUGUUUCGUCUAGUAACUCUGUAGUAUCUCUGCAGUUGUAAAUUGCUAAAUACUGAUUUGACAGAUUUUUCUUUUUUUUUAAAUUUUCUUUACAAUAUAUAAUUUUUACUACUUAAUUAGGAAUUGUCAGAUUUCCAUUAUUUCUUUCUAUUAGAAACAAAGAGUUCAAAAUAUUGGUGGUAAGAACUGUCAAAAACUUGUGAUAGCAAUGAUGAAGAGUUUUAUGACAAAUUCACUCAUGGCCAAAUCUAAUAUGGCAGCUGGAAAAAGCAAAGAAUCUUUUUAGUCUAACCAAGCUAUACAACUUAAUAA
Hydra vulgaris (swiftwater hydra) is the source of this 681-nucleotide non-coding RNA. The record is from RefSeq and is a predicted model, not a curated record. NCBI's taxonomy places the organism in Eukaryota, Metazoa, Cnidaria, Hydrozoa, Anthoathecata, Hydridae.